GAUCCUGGCUCAGGACGAACGCUGGCGGCAUGCCUAACACAUGCAAGUCGAACGGAGAUAUUUGGAAGCUUGCUUCUGGAUAUCUUAGUGGCGGAUGGGCGAUUAACGCGUGAGCAACCUGGCCUUCAGAGUGGAACAACGUCUGGAAACGGGCGCUAAUACCGCAUAAUACAAGAGAGUCGCAUGGCUUUUUUGUCAAAGGAGAAGUCCGCUGAAGGAUGGGCUCGCGUCCG
This 233-nucleotide ribosomal RNA is filed under the name uncultured bacterium. RNAcentral describes it as "partial 16S ribosomal RNA". It matches the Rfam family "Bacterial small subunit ribosomal RNA", at positions 15 to 239 of the family's 1533-position model. The record is from RNAcentral.